Molecule: long non-coding RNA, 790 nt
Organism: Dermacentor silvarum
Lineage: Eukaryota; Metazoa; Arthropoda; Arachnida; Ixodida; Ixodidae
Exons: 2
Source: RefSeq, a predicted model, not a curated record
AUCCAAGCAUUUUAGACACGUGUUUAAUCUUUCUGCCGUCGACUAUUUUUCUUCGCGGCACAGUUUCGCCAAGGUCACGGAAAGGUCACCGAAAGGUCAGCGCCAACGUAGACACCUAAGGCUUUCGCCUUUAAAGUAAGCAAGUGUUACACAUUUGUAAAACGUGAAGGCGAAAGCCUGCCAGCCGUGGAAGAAGACGACGAAAGCACGAGCAGUGGCACCAGCGCGAGGGACUGUAUGGGAACGCUGGCAUGAUCAGCAGCAUCGGAGCCAGCUGUGGAAGAAGACGACGACGAUGAACGCGAGAGCAGUGGCACGAGCGCAUCUCCGUGACCACGUGACGUGAUAUGAUGUGACCACGUGACAUGAGCGACCGAAUCUUCGAGCCCUACUGACCUCCCAGAGGGGAGAUGAAAGUAGAAUUAAUAAUGGACAACGAUAAAGGAAAUCUCCGUAUUUGGCGAAGGAACUGCAGGGGGUACGCUGGUAAAAGAGCACUGCUGCAGCAGUACUUCAUUGACGGAUAAACCUAGAAUUAUAGCACUGCAAGAGACCCUAGCCUCUGCGGCGUCCCUCGCUGGUUACAGAGCAGUCCCCGGGCAGCCACGCGGACGAGGGAUCUGCACAAUUAUAGAUAAGAAGCUAGCACACCUCUCUUACAACAUGAAGCUGACGAGCUGCUAGAUCGAACACGUGAUGGUGGAGAUCCUGCGGCACAACCAACGCAGAAACAGUGUCUUUGUGCUGAACGUUUACAGUAAUCCCAAGCACAGGCGCCAGCAAUUCAAAA